RNAcentral lists this long non-coding RNA (464 nucleotides) under Androctonus crassicauda. Lineage: Eukaryota; Metazoa; Arthropoda; Arachnida; Scorpiones; Buthidae. The record is from RNAcentral.
AUUUGAGAAGCACGUGCUACAACUCUGUAUUUAAACAUUUAGUUUUAAGUACUGUACAUAUGUGCAGUUUCAGUCGGGAUGGGGAGGGGAACAUCUGACCAUUCCCUUGUAAGUUUGCUCAUGGAAAGGAAGAAUCAGGGGCAGUCUGCUCCACUGUCUUGGGGCAUGCUGGCAACCCCAAUCCCCUUAACAGGUAAACUGGAACCGUCAACCCUGCAGCGGGGAAAAAAAGUCUUAUUGUCAUACAUGCAACAAGAACAAACUGGAGGAAACACAAAGGGAUCAUUGUCGAAUUAUCACCAAUACAGGGAAGAUUAACUACAACAAUGUUUUGCCUGGUACCUCGAAGGGAUUGUUCAGAAUAUUGCAUCUAUCUUUCUGUAGUGCCACUUAGCUCUCAGCAUGAUACCUCAUACCUUAGUUUGGGUAGUAAUGCUUUCUUAUUCUGGUCCCUUUCCUUUGAC